RNAcentral lists this long non-coding RNA (6219 nucleotides) under Zostera marina. RNAcentral's name for it is "long non-coding RNA (ZMAR_LNC004296)". The record is from RNAcentral. Lineage: Eukaryota; Viridiplantae; Streptophyta; Magnoliopsida; Alismatales; Zosteraceae.
UCCAGAUGUUCCAAGUUAUAUGCCCCUGUUCGUCUAAAGUAGCAGUAGUAGGUGAGAAGUGGCGUCGUCGAGCUGAAAUACUGGAAUUAGUAAAAAUUAAUUUACAGAAAGUACAAUCGAAUAUGAAGAAAGCAGUGGUCAAAAGAAGAACACUUAUUACAUAUGAAGAAGGAGAUCUCAUUCUAGUCAGACUCCAUCUUUAUAAGCAAGAUGUAACAGUCAUAAUCGACCAGCAGGAGGCAGAGAAAGUACUGGGGACGGAGCUCCGAUGGGCCGCAGAAGAAACAGAGCCGACCAACCUACCGGAAGUCAGCUCUGUUAGACCCACCCACGAAAGACAGUCUACCCGACGGUCGGAUUACGACUACGAUUAAUUGUAAUAACAAUAAUAAGUUAUUCACAGUAGUUAGUAGUUAGUUGGAAGAAUAACCAAUUCAAACGCAACAGAUUUGUGUAAAUGAGUGGAAGUUAAUAAUAUAGACAUGCUAAAAUUUUGUUGAUUCAAUUGAAUUACUCUCCCCCUGGAACCUCCUUCAUCUGAUUCCUUCCUUCUCCGGCCCCAUCAGGGAAUUCUUGCUAUUUCUUUUCCAUCCACGAAGCUCGUUCUGAAAGCCGAUCCGGGUCACGCCGAUCAUUGUUGUCACAUUGGUGCUUUCAAUCGUUGAACCCAUCAUUGCGAAGCUAGGAUCAGUCGGAUACGACGAUAAACAUACAAAUAUUUCAGGGCAUGUCCCAAGCUUGAAUUGGGUCUAUAGCAGAGACGUCAAUUAAACGUACCGGGAAAUAUAUAUUGCAGAUUAAUUAACUCAACUUCUUUUCUUUUCUGUGAAGUUUUCAUGGAAGGGUGUACAAACGAAGCAUUAAAGGGUCCUUAUUGCUAAAGUUACAAACGAAGCAUUAGCUAACAAGGGAGCAAAGACAUGGAAAUUUUUUCCACCAAUAAACAGAUCUAAACCAAUUUUAAAAACUCCACCGCCGGGCGGGCCGGUGGUUCCAAUCGUAAGAAGAACAUUGACAAAUGAAGAAAGAAGGGAAAAGAUGGCCAAAGAUCAGUGCUUUAAUUGUGAAGAACAAUAUUUUCCUGGUCACCGAUGCAAAGGAAAGUUAUUCAGGUUAAACAUAAAACAAGAUUGCUUGACGAAGAUGGUGGACGUGGACCCAGUGGCAGCAGAGUCGAAAAAGGACAUAGAAAUCAGCCUUCACGCGUUGUCAGAGUCAUAUAAUCCCCGGACGAUACAAAUGGAGGGCGCGAUUAAAGACCAACAGCUGACUGUACUAAUUGAUAGUGGGAGUACCCAAAAAUUCGUGCAAAAAUCAGUCGCGCACAAUUUCCAUGUCUUUGCUCCCUUGUUAGCUAAUGCUUCGUUUGUAACUUUAGUAGUAAGAACGGACUACAAGAAACUCACAUUGGAGUUUGAGUGCGGAGAGGCUCUAGUUAAAUUAUAGGGUGACUUGCAAAUUGCCGAUUCAAUGAUUACCAAUCGCGCUCUUUGACGGAUGAUGACUCGGAAGAAAGUGGCUUAUUUUUGCCAUUUAGUCUGUGAACCACCAGAACUGCCUUUCACUGAAUUAACAGGGAUCACAAAUGGUGAUACAGUAUCCUGAACUCGGUCACAACGCACCAGCAACCAAAGGUUCGGAUCGCCUGAAAUGAGUUGAGACACCUAUUCCAAGUUUGGGAAGGUCCCAAGUCAACUCCUGGGAAGAUCGACUUUCCAAGAGGUCGAUUUCUUAGAACUCGACUUCCUCAGAAAGUCAAGCUCGGGAAAAGUCGGACCUUGAGAAAGUCGAUUCCAGAAAAAUCGACCUGGGACCAAAUAUGGUCAGUUAGGCGGUUACUGCUUAAAUGACUGGAUUACCCCGAUAAAAAGUCUUAUAAAUACGAGGUACCUCUCACUCAUUUGGGCAAGUCAUUAGGAGUGGAGAAGUCUCAGUGAAGCAGGGCUCUGAGCAACUGAGUCCCGGCCUGAUUUCCCCGUGGAGUUCCCCGCCUGGCGCUUGUUCGAAGCGUCGUCGAGCACUGGUCAAGUUCCACCCUCAUCAACAGAGGUACUGAAUUACCGUUCAGAAAUAAUGAUCAUAGGAUCACACUAAUCACCGGAGCAGAACCGGUUAAUGUAAAUUUGUACCGCUACCCACACUUCCCGAAGAAUGAGAUAGAACGGCUGAUGCGAGAGAUGCUCCAGCAAGGUCUGAUCCGACGGAGUAUCAAUCCUUUUUCUUCACCGGUUUUGCUCGUGAGAAAAAAGAUGGCACCUGGCGCUUCUGCAUCGACUAUCGGGCACUGAAUGCGGUAACAAUCAGAGAUCGAUUUCCCAUCCCUACAAUGGAUGAGUUAAUCGACGAACUGCACGGAGCUCAAGUCUUCUCCAAGCUCGACCUCCGCGCUGGUUACCAUCAAAUUCGUGUCAGGAAGGACGAUAUUCCGUUAACCGCAUUCAGAACCCAUCACGGCCAUUGCGAAUUCACAGUAAUGUCGUUUGGGUUAACUAAUGUACCGACAACCUUCCAGGCGACGAUGAAUAACUUGUUCACAGAGCAUCUCCGGAAAUACGUCGUUAUUUUCUUUGACGAUAUCCUCGUCUAUAGCUGGACUGUGAAAGAUCACUUGAGACAUCUGGAAAUAGUACUGGAGAUUCUGAGCUCUAAUUCUCUGUUUGUACGAAAAACAAAGUGCUUCUUUUCCUUGGCGGAGCUGGCUUACCUGGGUCAUAUUAUAUCAACCCAGGGCAUUCGACCGAAUCCUGACAAGGUCUCAGCCGUAGAAUAUUGGCCGACGCCAUCCAUCAUCAAACAAGUACGAGCAUUCCUAAGUUUAACAGGAUACUACCGAUGCUUCAUAAGCCGGUACACACAAGUAGCAGCUCCAAUCACGAACCUUUUGCGGAAAAAUAAUUUUCAGUGGGACUCCGCGGCAAAUGAAGCUUUCCAGAAAUUAAAGCAGACAUUAAUCUCGGCUCCAGUAUUGACAUAUCCGAAUUUCAACUUACCGUUUGUGGUGGAGACCGACGCCUGCGACGUAGGCAUCGGAGUAGUGCUACUAUAGGAAGAACACCCUAUCGCGUUCUUCAGCAAAAAGCUAAUCAGCACUUCGGCAACGGGCCUCGACAUACGCCAAAGAAUUAUGGGUGAUUACUAAAUCCGUAAGAAAAUGGAGGUACUACUAGCUCGAAGGAACCUUCACGAUCAGAACGGACCAUCAUUCAUUAAAGAACCUACUGAACCAGACCAUACAGACGCCUGAGCAGCAGUUCUUCUUAACCAAGCUAUUGGGGUAUUCAUUUGACAUCGUUUAUAGAAGAAGGAAGGACAAUGUCGCGGCAGAUGCAUUAUCACGAUUGUCGGCAGAGGAGCUAGAGCCGGUAGGAACCCAAUUGGCAUUAUUAGCUUCGGAACCAAUAGCCGAUUGGGUACGGAAGUUGCGAGAGGAAACGAGAUAGAUAACUAGAUAUUAUUGAAGAAAAAUCAAGUAAACAAACAAGAGGUGAGGAAAGAAUUUUUGAUACGAGGAGGCUUGUUGAUGUUUUGAGACUGAUACUGUCUAGGUCCCACGUCAGAAUUGAUAACAGAGAUACUGGAAGAACUACAUGGAUCGAAACAAGGAGGACACUCGGGUUACUUUCGAAAACUCUACAGAAUCUGACAACGAUUUUAUUGGGUAGGGAUGAGGAAACAAAUCAAGGUCCCCGCGAUAAGCCAUUAGGCCUUCUCCACCCCCUUAACAUUCUGAUGGCCGUCUGGGAAGAAGUCAGCGUCGACUUCAUCAUCGGACUUCCGCCGGUAUACGGACAUUCUGUAAUCUUAGUAGUAGUGGACCGCCUGUCAAAGUACUAUCAUCUCGGCAGUCUACCAGAGACAUACUCGGCAAAGCUAAUUUCUUCACGGAAAACAUCUUGCGGUUACACGGAAUCCCGACAAAGCUAGUAUCUGACCGAGAUCGGGUAUUUUUGAGUAAGUUUUGGCAGGAGUUACUCCGACAAAGCGGAACGACGAUAAACAUGUCAUCGGCCUACCAUCCGCAGACGGACGAUCAAACUGAAAUUGUCAAUAAAACCACAGAAGGAUAUUUGAGGGCAACAGUACAAGGCAACUCACGCAACUGGAAGGAACUAUUGUCGUGGGCCGAGAUGUGGUAUAACACAACAUUCCAUCACAGUCUGGGCACCAUGCCAUUCAAAAUUAUUUACGGCCGACCACCACCAAGCAUACCACCAUAUCAGGCAGGAGAUUCCAAGGUUGAAUCGAUGGAUCAGGAACUACGGCGACGACAGCAGAUAUUAAAAGACUUACAAAUUAAAUUGACAAGCACACAUGAGCGAAUGAAGAAAUACAAAGACAGAAACAGGAAGAACUGGGACUCCUAGGUAGGCGGUCUAGUUUGGCUCAGACUGAAGCCAUACAGACAGAAUUCAGUGGAGAACAGGAGCUAUAUUAAGCUAAGCAAAAGGUAUUAUGGACCUUAUAAAAUCGUGAAAAAGAUCAAUCCAGUCGCUUACAGGUUGGAGUUACCGGCAACAAGUAGUAUCUUUCAAGUCUUCCACAUAUUGUUGUUAAAGCCAUUCGUCGGGAAAUUGGAGGAAAGACAACAGCUGGCUCUACCCCCGAAGGCAUGGGACAUACACCCAAUUGUGGUUCCAGCCAACAUUGUGGGUUAUCGAAUCAGUUCAAAGAAGGACAAGAAGACAGAACAUGUUUUAAUAGGAUGGGAGGGACUACCUUCAUAGGAACGAACGUGGGAUGAUUUAAAUUGGGUCGCACAUUUAAAUCCAAGCCACAACCUUGAGGACAAGGUUCGUCAUGCAGGAGAAGGUGAUGUUGUUGGAUCGAGAUCCGAGGCUAUAAGGGGGGAUAAUAGCCUCUUUUCGAUUAAUGCAAGUUAAUAGCGGAAUUACCUGCACACACUUAAGUACACAAAUGGUUGUAUAAUAAUAAUAGUAUAAUAUUGUUAGCAAUAUAAUACUAUUAUAUAAUUUUAAAGAAUAUAAUAUUAUAUCUUAUAAUAUUAUAUAUUGGACUUGCCUUUUGCUCUUUAAGUUUACUACAGUAUAUGAAUACGUAGUCAACUUUUCAGAUGGUGUUUUAUAAACAACUAUAGUAUAUGAAUACUAAGUUAUAUUAUAAACACAAGUUAUAUUAUAGCAAGUAAAUGACCAAAUAACUGGAUAUAUUGAUAAACAAGUAGAUGACCAGAUAACUGGAUAUAUAUAUGAUAAGUAAAUGCUUGAACAAAUAUGAAUAAAACAAUGAAUAUAACCUCAGAUGGUUGACCAGAUAAUUAACUGGAUGAGGGAUCUGCGUAAAGUAGUCAACCUCUGUAUUUGACCAGAUAACUGGAAGAGGGAUCUUUUUAAUUAAGUGUUGUUUUUAGAUAAAAGAUAAAACUAUAAUUAACAGAGAACAACACAAGAGAUUUAUACUGGUUCACCCAAACAAGGGCUAGUCCAGUCCCGACCAACUGAGGGAAUUCACUCACCUAAAGGUAAUGGCAAAACCUUUCUAAGCUUUAAGGCUACUUCGCUUAGGAACCAGUCUUUUACGGGUAGACUCACACCUUAGAGUAUCAAGGGCACUCUUAAGAACCUCUAACUUUUACGGGUAAGUUAGUACCUUAGAGUAUCAAGGAACUCUUAAAAACCUUUCUAAGCUUUAAGGCUACUUCGCUUAGGAACCAGUCUUUUAAGAAUAGACUCACACCUUAGAGUAUCAAGGGCACUCUUAAGAACCUCUAACUUUUACGGGUAAGUUAGUACCUUAGAGUAUCAAGGAACUCUUAAAAACCUCUGAAAUCUUUAAAGGUAGACUCAACCUAAGAGUUUUCCCGGAAACUCUAUAAAACCUAACUAGAGCUUUAUNNNNNNNNNNNNNNNNNNNNNNNNNNNNNNNNNNNNNNNNNNNNNNNNNNNNNNNNNNNNNNNNNNNNNNNNNNNNNNNNNNNNNNNNNNNNNNNNNNNNAAAACCUUCUCUAACACUUUGGUACUAUUGAGACAACCCUCUCAACCAAAGUGGACACACACAAGAAGUGAUUAGAGGAGUGGAAUAUUAAAGCAAACAACACUUCUUACUUGUAAAGAUGAACAAGAAGAUUAGAAGAAGAAGUUGGAGAGCUUUUGAAGCUUUGGAAAGCUAAGACACUUGAGCACUUGAAAGCUUGGAAGCUUGGAGGCAAAAACGUGUGGGCAAGUGUGGAGUGAAAGCUCUUGAGUUUGCUUGUAGUGUGGU